Anaerostipes hadrus is the source of this 91-nucleotide non-coding RNA. NCBI's taxonomy places the organism in Bacteria, Bacillati, Bacillota, Clostridia, Lachnospirales, Lachnospiraceae. The record is from Rfam.
UGAUAGCGUUGAAGCGUGAGGUUGCUGUAGAGGCAAAAGCCUUUGCAGGUUUUCCGUGGAGCGAAUGUCAAGUUGUUAAAACUGGCGACAA